CCUCCUCCUUUGCCCACCAGCAAAACUCCUCCAGCAGUGAACUGCAGAGCUGCAAAUCCCCCCCCCGCACCCUUCCCAGCGGCCUCAGCCGGUACCAGCGAGGCUGGAUUUGUCUCCCAGCAGCUAAGCUUAGCGCAAGGUGUGCAGCUAUUUGAGAUUAUCAAACCUUUUCUCCUCAACCAGCUCAUCUCCAUCCAGCCCGACCCCAAACACCCUAAAACCCCGACCGAGGGAAGCUCUCGCCCCACUCCUCCUGACAGCAUCGCUGCUCGGGGUCCCGGCCAGAGCCCCGAGGCGUCGGGCAGGCUGGGGAGAGCCCUUCUCCCCACGGCGUGUGAGCAGGAGCCGUGCCGGCAGCAGGAUCCAGCCCUGGCAGGGAUCAGGUCUCGUAGCCAUAGCAGCGGGGUAUUUAUUACAGCCCGGCCGCACUCCACCCCGGGCUGGCGGACUUUAGCCCUUAAUCGAAUAGAAAAGUAGCAGCAGACGCCUUCGAUCCCGACGGCGGAGUAAAACACAAGGAGGGCCCCCAAAAUAAUGGCAAAAUUUCUGUCCCAGGAUCAAAUUAAUGAGUUCAAGGAAUGUUUUUCUCUGUACGACAAGAAACAAAAAGGCAAGAUAAAAGCCUCCGACCUGAUGGCAGUGAUGCGGUGCCUGGGAGCCAGCCCGACGCCAGGAGAGGUGCAGAGACACCUGCACUUGCACAAGAUCGACAGAAAUGCAGAGUUGGAUUUCUCCACUUUCCUGAACAUAAUGUACAGGCAAAUGAAGCAGGAGGAACCCGAGAGGGAAAUCCUCACAGCCCUGUCCAUGAUCGACAGGCAGAAGAGAGGCAUUAUCACCAUUUCGGAGCUGAGAGCCAAACUUACAAGACUAGGAGAAAAGCUUUCCGAGGAAGAAGGAAAAAUGCUUUUGAAUGGUUUAGCCUGUACAGAAGAGAACGUAUUAAGGUAGAUGGCUGCUGUCGCUGCCAAGGCGUUCCCAAAGCCGGAAUGAAAAGCAUCGCUCCGGCCAGUUGAUGACCUGCUGAAAGAAGCCAAAGUUGGACCAAAUGGAACUAUAAAAUACGAAGAAUUUGUUCACGCUGUUUGUCUUCCCACAGUUGACUACUGAGGUUGAAAACACGGGAUUUGCUAAGAGAAAGCCCUGAAGCUUUUUCGACUUCCAUUUCUCCUAGUUACUACUUGGACUCAAGAAUCAUCAUUUGCCUUUAAAAAUCCUUAUUUUGCCUUGAUGACAGUGCUUACACUUCCAGAGGUUCCCACCUCGUUUCUGGAGAAACGCCAUCACAAAAUGUGAGCUGUUAUUUAAAUAAACUGAAUGUAAC
This is an RNA transcript of Grus americana (Whooping crane), 1324 nucleotides long. It is a transcript of the gene named calmodulin like 4, with no coding region annotated. The record is from RefSeq and is a predicted model, not a curated record. The transcript has 6 exons. Lineage: Eukaryota; Metazoa; Chordata; Aves; Gruiformes; Gruidae.